CCACAGAGGGUGAGAGCCCCGUCUGGCUGGCCGCCGAGCCUCUGUAAAGCUCCUUCGACGAGUCGAGUAGUUUGGGAAUGCUGCUCAAAAUGGGAGGUAUAUGUCUUCUAAAGCUAAAUAUUGGCCAGAGACCGAUAGCGCACAAGUAGAGUGAUCGAAAGAUGAAAAGCACCUUGAAAAGAGGGUUAAAUAGUACGUGAAAUUGUUGAAAGGGAAGCGCUUGUGACCAGACUUGGGCGCGGCGGAUCAUCCGGGGUUCUCCCCGGUGCACUUCGCCGCGUCCAGGCCAGCAUCAGUUCGUCGCGGGGGAAAAAGGCUUCGGGAACGUGGCUCCCUCGGGAGUGUUAUAGCCCGUUGCGUAAUACCCUGCGGUGGACUGAGGACCGCGCAUCUGCAAGGAUGCUGGCGUAAUGGUCACCAGCGACCCGUCUUGAAACACGGACCAAGGAGUCGUCUUCGUAUGCGAGUGUUCGGGUGUCAAACCCCUACGCGUAAUGAAAGUGAACGCAGGUGAGAGCUUCGGCGCAUCAUCGACCGAUCCUGAUGUUCUCGGAUGGAUUUGAGUAAGAGCAUACGGGGCCGGACCCGAAAGAAGGUGAACUAUGCCUGUAUAGGGUGAAGCCAGAGGAAACUCUGGUGGAGGCUCGCAGCGGUUCUGACGUGCAAAUCGAUCGUCAAAUAUGGGCAUGGGGGCGAAAGACUAAUCGAACCUUCUAGUAGCUGGUUUCCGCCGAAGUUUCCCUCAGGAUAGCAGUGUUGAACUCAGUUUUAUGAGGUAAAGCGAAUGAUUAGGGACCCGGGGGCGCUAUAUUGCCUUCAUCCAUUCUCAAACUUUAAAUAUGUAAGAAGCCCUUGUUGCUUAAUUGAACGUGGGCAUUCGAAUGUAUCAACACUAGUGGGCCAUUUUUGGUAAGCAGAACUGGCGAUGCGGGAUGAACCGAACGCGAGGUUAAGGUGCCAGAGUAGACGCUCAUCAGACACCACAAAAGGCGUUAGUACAUCUUGACAGCAGGACGGUGGCCAUGGAAGUCGGAAUCCGCUAAGGACUGUGUAACAACUCACCUGCCGAAUGUACUAGCCCUGAAAAUGGAUGGCGCUCAAGCGUCUCACCCAUACCUCGCCCUCGGGGUAGAAACGAUGCCCCGAGGAGUAGGCGGACGUGGGAGGUCGUGACGAAGCCUAGGGC
Molecule: ribosomal RNA, 1186 nt
Filed under: Trichoderma reesei
Lineage: Eukaryota; Fungi; Ascomycota; Sordariomycetes; Hypocreales; Hypocreaceae
Description: LSU rRNA
Rfam family: Eukaryotic large subunit ribosomal RNA
Source: RNAcentral